RNAcentral lists this ribosomal RNA (253 nucleotides) under uncultured bacterium. RNAcentral's name for it is "partial 16S ribosomal RNA". It matches the Rfam family "Bacterial small subunit ribosomal RNA", at positions 524 to 776 of the family's 1533-position model. The record is from RNAcentral.
UACGUAGGGUGCGAGCGUUAAUCGGAAUAACUGGGCGUAAAGGGCACGCAGGCGGGCUUUUAAGUGAGAUGUGAAAUCCCCGGGCUUAACCUGGGGAUAGCAUUUGAGACUGGGAGUCUAGAGUGCUUUAGGGAGGGGUGGAAUUCCACGUGUAGCGGUGAAAUGCGUGGAGAUGUGGAGGAAUACCGAAGGCGAAGGCAGCCCCUUGGGAAUGUACUGACGCUCAUGUGCGAAAGCGUGGGGAGCAAACAGG